This 253-nucleotide ribosomal RNA is filed under the name uncultured bacterium. Its description in RNAcentral is "partial 16S ribosomal RNA". It matches the Rfam family "Bacterial small subunit ribosomal RNA", at positions 524 to 776 of the family's 1533-position model. The record is from RNAcentral.
UACAGAGGGUGCAAGCGUUGUUCGGAUUUACUGGGCGUAAAGGGCGCGUAGGCGGCGUAACAAGUCACUUGUGAAAUCUCCGGGCUUAACCUGGAGCGGCCAAGUGAUACUGUUGUGCUAGAGUGCGGAAGGGGCUACUGGAAUUCUCGGUGUAGCGGUGAAAUGCGUAGAUAUCGAGAGGAACACCUGCGGCGAAGGCGGGUUGCUGGGCUGAUACUGACGCUGAGGCGCGAAAGCCAGGGGAGCGAACGGG